UACGUAGGGAGCAAGCGUUGUCCGGAAUCAUUGGGCGUAAAGCGCGCGUAGGUGGCUUCGUAAGUCCGUUGUGAAAGUCAAAGGCUCAACCUUUGAAAGCCGAUGGAUACUGCGGAGCUAGAGUACGGAAGAGGCGAGUGGAAUUCCUGGUGUAGCGGUGGAAUGCGCAGAUAUCUGGAGGAACACCGGUGGCGAAGGCGGCAUCCUGGACCGGCAUUGACGCUGAGGCGUGAAAGCCAGGGGAGCAAAGCGGG
Molecule: ribosomal RNA, 254 nt
Filed under: uncultured bacterium
Lineage: Bacteria
Description: partial 16S ribosomal RNA
Rfam family: Bacterial small subunit ribosomal RNA
Source: RNAcentral